Salvia miltiorrhiza (redroot sage) is the source of this 775-nucleotide long non-coding RNA. RefSeq lists it as uncharacterized. The record is from RefSeq and is a predicted model, not a curated record. The transcript is spliced from 2 exons. Lineage: Eukaryota; Viridiplantae; Streptophyta; Magnoliopsida; Lamiales; Lamiaceae.
UUUUUUUAAAGCAUAACACUCUCUCUCUCUCUCAAUUAUCAAGACUAAAUCUCUCUCUAAAUUAUCAAGAAGCGAACACUGCUCAUCAUCUCUCUCUCUCGCUCGAUCCAGCCGUCGCCGCCCCCGCGUCCUGGCCGUUCCGGUCGCCAGCGAGGCCGGCGUUAAUCUGUCGACCACGCCGCCUGCUCCCUCAUCUCCUCUCCCUCGAUUUUUCUCCCCCCUCUCUUCUCCUCUAUCUCUCUCGCUCUCUCGGCCGCUGGACCCAGGCGCAGCAGACACCACCACCGCGGUGUGCCGCCAUCGCCGGGCCGCCGCCUGCUCCCUCAUCCUCGCGGCAGAUCCGCCGCCGCCGUUCAACGCCACGGCCGCCACCUGUUCUCCCUCUCUCUCUAUCCCUAACUCUCACACACGCCGGCAGACACGGCGUAAGCCGCCGCCGCCGCGCCUGGUGUAUCUUCUCCAGCCGAAGGCCGGAGCCACCGCCGCCACUGCUUCCAUCGACCGGCAGCCUAAGAUCGGAGACCACCUCGGCUCCGUCGCCGACCGUCGACCGCCGGCAGCCACCGCGGCUGCCGUCCCCUGACCUUGACUCACACACACAGUAGGGUUCAAGCCACAAUUCAGUUCACAAAAUAGCAUAGGAUUUUUUUCUUAGCACAUAUCAUUCUCAUACUGUAAUUGCUUAAUGAAAUCUGAAAUUCUUUUCUUGAAACUGAACUAGUCUGUAAAUUUCAGUUCAUAUGUGCAUAUGUAAACAUGUUGUGAAAUAUCAGAA